Molecule: ribosomal RNA, 375 nt
Filed under: Triticum aestivum (bread wheat)
Lineage: Eukaryota; Viridiplantae; Streptophyta; Magnoliopsida; Poales; Poaceae
Description: partial small subunit ribosomal RNA
Source: RNAcentral
AUGGCUGUUGAGUUGAAAGAUUCCGCCGACCGUUAUGAGCUUCUUGAAAAGGAAAGCCAAACGAAGACGGCGGACCUGGAGAAAGCCAUGGUAGCAGCCAAGGAAGCCCGCUCUAAAAUUAGAGCAGCGAAGGAGGAGCUACGUCAAGCCGGAGAUAUCGCGGCUGGGAAGCCCUUUUUGUUGCGGACGAAGUUCGGAGAUCCUAAGUAUGCCCUUCUGGAUCAAUUAUGGAGUUCUGCAGACGCGUACUUGGAUUUGGCAGCGAGUGCUGCUGAUGCGACCGGGUUUUUCAAAGAUCAAAAAGAUCACGAAGUGGAAAAGUUGUUCUGGUCGCAGUUCAAUGUUCCAGUGCGUCCGCUGCUGUUAAAUGAGUAA